GCGGUGGAGCAUGUGUUUAAUUCGAUGCAACGCGAAGAACCUUUACCUGGGCUUGACAUCCCAAGAAUCCCCUGGAAACAGGGGAGUUGCCCUUCGGGGAGCUUGGAGACAGGUUGCUGCAUGGGCUGUCGUCAGCUCGUGUCGUGAGAUGUUGGGUUAAGUCCCGCAACGAGCGCAACCCUUGCCUUUAGUUGCCAUCAUUCAGUUGGGCACUCUAGAGGGACUGCCGGUGUCAAACCGGAGGAAGGUGGGAUGACGUCAAGUCCUCAUGGCCUUUAUGCCCAGGGCUACACACGUGCUACAAUGGGCGGUACAAAGAGCAGCGAGCUCGCGAGAGUAAGCAAAUCUCAAAAAGCCGUCCUCAGUUCGGAUUGGAGUCUGCAACUCGACUCCAUGAAGUUGGAAUCGCUAGUAAUCGCGGAUCAGAAUGUCACGGUGAAUACGUUCCCGGGUCUU
Molecule: ribosomal RNA, 456 nt
Filed under: uncultured Syntrophaceae bacterium
Lineage: Bacteria; Pseudomonadati; Thermodesulfobacteriota; Syntrophia; Syntrophales; Syntrophaceae
Description: bacterial SSU rRNA
Rfam family: Bacterial small subunit ribosomal RNA
Source: RNAcentral